Molecule: ribosomal RNA, 465 nt
Filed under: uncultured bacterium
Lineage: Bacteria
Description: partial 16S ribosomal RNA
Rfam family: Bacterial small subunit ribosomal RNA
Source: RNAcentral
GACGAACGCUGGCGGCGUGCUUAACACAUGCAAGUCGAACGGUAAGGCUCCAGCUUGCUGGGGUACACGAGUGGCGAACGGGUGAGUAACACGUGGGUGACCUGCCCUGCACUUCGGGAUAAGCCUGGGAAACUGGGUCUAAUACCGGAUAGGACCGCACCGUGAGGGUGUAGUGGAAAGUUUUUUCGGUGUGGGCUGGGCCCGCGGCCUAUCAGCUUGUUGGUGGGGUAAUGGCCUACCAAGGCGGCGACGGGUAGCCGGCCUGAGAGGGUGGACGGCCACAUUGGGACUGAGACACGGCCCAGACUCCUACGGGAGGCAGCAGUGGGGAAUAUUGCACAAUGGGCGGAAGCCUGAUGCAGCGACGCCGCGUGGGGGAUGACGGCCUUCGGGUUGUAAACUCCUUUCACCAUCGACGAAGGGUUUCUGACGGUAGAUGGAGAAGAAGCACCGGCUAACUACGUG